GACGAACGCUGGCGGCGUGCUUAACACAUGCAAGUCGAACGGAAAGGCCCUGCUUUUGCGGGGUGCUCGAGUGGCGCACGGGUGUGUAACACGUGAGUAACCUCCCCUUGACUUUGGGAUAACUUCAGGAAACUGCGGAUAAUACCGGAUAGGAGAUCCUGCUGCAUGGUGGGGGUUGGAAAGUUUCGGCGGUUGGGGCUGGACUCGCGGGUUAUCCGCUUGUUGGUGGGGUAGUGGCAUACAAAGGCUGUGACGGGUAGCCGGCCUGAGAGGGUGACCGGCGACAAUGCGACUGAGGGACGGCCCAGACGGCUACGUGAGGCAGCGGGGGGGAAUAUUGCACAAUGGGCGCAAGCCUGAGGCAGCGACGCCGCGUGCGGGAUGACGGCCUUCGGGGUGUAAACCGCUGUCGCCUGAGACGAAGCGUGAGUGACGGUAACGGGUAAAGAAGCACCGGCUAACUACGUG
RNAcentral lists this ribosomal RNA (468 nucleotides) under uncultured bacterium. Its description in RNAcentral is "partial 16S ribosomal RNA". It matches the Rfam family "Bacterial small subunit ribosomal RNA", at positions 28 to 507 of the family's 1533-position model. The record is from RNAcentral.